GAUGAACGCUGGCGGCGUGCUUAACACAUGCAAGUCGAACGGAAAGGCCCUGCUAUUGUGGGGUGACCGAGUGGCGAACGGGUGAGUAACACGAGAGUAACCUGCCCUUGACUUUGGGGUAACUUAAGGUAACUGGGGUUAAUACCGGAUAGGAGAUCCCGUUGCAUGGUGGGGGUUGGAAAGUUUCGGCGGUCGGGGAUGGACUAGCGGCUUAUCAGUUUGCUGGUGGGGUAGUGGAUUACCGAGGCUUUGAAGGGUAGGCGGCAUGGGAGGGGGACCGGCCACAAUGGUACUGAGGUACGGCCCAGACGCCAACGGGAGGCAGCAGUGGGGAGUAUUACACAGUGAGCGGGAGCCUGAUGCGGCGACGCCGCGUGCGGAAAGACGGCCUUCGGGUAAUAAACCGCAUUCGCCUGUUACGAAGCGGUAGUGACGGUAAUGAGUGAAGAAGCACCGGCUAACUACGUG
Molecule: ribosomal RNA, 468 nt
Filed under: uncultured bacterium
Lineage: Bacteria
Description: partial 16S ribosomal RNA
Rfam family: Bacterial small subunit ribosomal RNA
Source: RNAcentral